AAAAAUCUAGUUUAAUAAAAAUAUUAAUUUGUCAAAUUAAAGUUACAGAAGUGAUUUUUG
RNAcentral lists this transfer RNA (60 nucleotides) under Batracomorphus allionii. RNAcentral describes it as "tRNA-Asp". Lineage: Eukaryota; Metazoa; Arthropoda; Insecta; Hemiptera; Cicadellidae. The record is from RNAcentral.